UUGAACGGUGUUUCUGAAUCAUUGGGUGAAAUCCCCGAAUACACAGAAGAUUGGCUGUGCAGAAAGGCUAAUACUCCGACAUGCUGUGAUAAAAAGUGAAAGUGAUUCAUGGUAUGAAGCUCGGUGAAGGCGGCGAAACGUCGAUCUGUAAAAUGGUUGGUAAAGUAGUCGGGCCACCAUAAA
Desulfosporosinus sp. OT is the source of this 183-nucleotide non-coding RNA. Lineage: Bacteria; Bacillati; Bacillota; Clostridia; Eubacteriales; Desulfitobacteriaceae. The record is from Rfam.